This is an RNA transcript of Rosa chinensis, 916 nucleotides long. It is a transcript of the gene named protein NONRESPONDING TO OXYLIPINS 2, mitochondrial, with no coding region annotated. The record is from RefSeq and is a predicted model, not a curated record. The transcript is spliced from 4 exons. NCBI's taxonomy places the organism in Eukaryota, Viridiplantae, Streptophyta, Magnoliopsida, Rosales, Rosaceae.
ACAACUUUCCCUUAGCAGCGGGUAGGGUUUAAGCGAGUCUCUGCCUCUACCGGUUCAACCAAUUCAACUCACUCUCCCUUCGUUUCCAGUCACUCUUCUCCAGAAAAUGGCUUCGUUGUGCAGAUCAGCUCUCAUGGCUGGCUCAAGAUCCAUAUCAUCUCGCUCCAGAACGCUCACCCAGAGCUCCCUCAACGCCUUAAACCCCAAACCCAUGUCGUCUCCCUUUGCUUCCUCCACUAAAGCCAUGCCUAGCGCUAUAAGGUUCGUUUCGGUAUUGGGUAGCUUGGAAUCAAUGAUGCCGCUUCACAGUGCCAUUGCUUCUGCUCGGCUCAAGUCCAACAUUGCCUUCGAUUCCACCUGCUGGAGUUGCCUUUCUCAGGACGUUGCAGUUCCUCGGUGACAACAACUCUGGGCUGAAGUCAUUUCAAGUUUUCAACCAAAUAGGCUUGCAUAGUGGCUCCUCCAUCUUUGUCCUUUCAUUUUUCCGUUUGAUUUCUGGCAAUUGCAUUGUGGCUUGUCGAUCCCAGCUGAACAUGAACCAAAACUAACCAAGCAACCUGGCAUCACUUCGAUCAAGUUUCACUGUACUGAGCUCCUUAUGGUGCAGAAAUUGCUGUUUCUUAGACGAUUCCUUCAUCAAUUUUCAUUUUACUUGAACUAUAACAGACCCAUUCCAUUGUUAUGGCGCAUAAUGUAUGCUUGGACACAAGAACUAAAACUUGUGAACCUAGAAAUAUAGGAACUGUUUUGUUUGUAUGGUUAGUACUUAAUACUGCCUAGUAUGGUAUCUACUUGUUCGGCUCAUGCGGGAUACAUGUGACGUGCCGAGGCAUAAAGCUGAUUUUGGGUAAUAAUGUAUUGUUGAGGGUCUAAAUUUAAUUUCAGUCUCUUUUCACAGAAAUGCAGAAUUGUGAAC